Molecule: unclassified non-coding RNA, 355 nt
Filed under: soil metagenome
Description: partial contains 5.8S ribosomal RNA, internal transcribed spacer 2, and large subunit ribosomal RNA
Rfam family: 5.8S ribosomal RNA (bases 1-120)
Source: RNAcentral
GAUGAAGAACGUAGCGAAAUGCGAUAAGUAAUGCGAAUUGCAGAAUUCAGUGAAUCAUCGAAUCUUUGAACGCACAUUGCGCCCGCCAGUACUCUGGCGGGCAUGCCUGUCUGAGCGUCAUUUCAACCCUCGCGCCCGGCUUCUGUCGGGGGCGGUGUUGGGGAUCGGCCUCCCGUCUUCCGGGCGGCCGGCCCCUAAAUGGAGUGGCGACCGCGCCGUAGCCUCCUCUGCGUAGUAGUGAAACACUCGCGGGCGGAGAGCGGUGCGGCCCGCCGUAAAACCCCCAACUCUUCUAAGGUUGACCUCAGAUCAGGUAGGAAUACCCGCUGAACUUAAGCAUAUCAAUAGCGGAGGA